UCGAGCGAAACAUUUAAGACAGAAUCUCUUCGGGUUGAGUCUUAUCUGACUGAGCGGCGGACGGGUGAGUAACGCGUGGGUAACCUGCCUCAUACAGGGGGAUAACAGUUAGAAAUGACUGCUAAUACCGCAUAAGCGCACAGGGCUGCAUGGCCCGGUGUGAAAAACUCCGGUGGUAUGAGAUGGACCCGCGUCUGAUUAGCUGGUUGGAGGGGUAACGGCCCACCAAGGCGACGAUCAGUAGCCGGCCUGAGAGGGUGAACGGCCACAUUGGGACUGAGACACGGCCCAGACUCCUACGGGAGGCAGCAGUGGGGAAUAUUGCACAAUGGGGGAAACCCUGAUGCAGCGACGCCGCGUGAAGGAAGAAGUAUCUCGGUAUGUAAACUUCUAUCAGCAGGGAAGAAAAUGACGGUACCUGACUAAGAAGCCCCGGCUAACUACGUGCCAGCAGCCGCGGUAAUACGUAGGGGGCAAGCGUUAUCCGGAUUUACUGGGUGUAAAGGGAGCGUAGACGGAAGAGCAAGUCUGAUGUGAAAGGCUGGGGCUUAACCCCAGGACUGCAUUGGAAACUGUUUUUCUAGAGUGCCGGAGAGGUAAGCGGAAUUCCUAGUGUAGCGGUGAAAUGCGUAGAUAUUAGGAGGAACACCAGUGGCGAAGGCGGCUUACUGGA
RNAcentral lists this ribosomal RNA (673 nucleotides) under Blautia sp. BM-C4-0. RNAcentral's name for it is "bacterial SSU rRNA". It matches the Rfam family "Bacterial small subunit ribosomal RNA", at positions 62 to 733 of the family's 1533-position model. The record is from RNAcentral. Lineage: Bacteria; Bacillati; Bacillota; Clostridia; Lachnospirales; Lachnospiraceae.